RNAcentral lists this ribosomal RNA (253 nucleotides) under uncultured bacterium. Its description in RNAcentral is "partial 16S ribosomal RNA". It matches the Rfam family "Bacterial small subunit ribosomal RNA", at positions 524 to 776 of the family's 1533-position model. The record is from RNAcentral.
UACGUAGGGGGCAAGCGUUGUCCGGAAUCACUGGGCGUAAAGCGCGCGUAGGCGGCCCGGUAAGUCCGUUGUGAAAGUCAAAGGCUCAACCUUUGAACGCCGAUGGAUACUGCCGGGCUAGAGUCCGGAAGAGGCGAGUGGAAUUCCUGGUGUAGCGGUGGAAUGCGCAGAUAUCAGGAGGAACACCAAUAGCGAAGGCAGCUCGCUGGGACGGUACUGACGCUGAGGCGCGAAAGCGUGGGGAGCGAACAGG